RNAcentral lists this long non-coding RNA (5118 nucleotides) under Sus scrofa (pig). RNAcentral describes it as "lncRNA (ENSSSCG00040041940.1)". Lineage: Eukaryota; Metazoa; Chordata; Mammalia; Artiodactyla; Suidae. The record is from RNAcentral.
UUCCUGGAUUUGAGUGAGUGGUUCCUUUCCCAUGUUAGGGAAGUUUUUGGCUAUUAUCUCUUGGAAUAUUUUUUCUGUCCCCUUCUCUCUUCUCCUUCUGGCACCCCUAUAAUACGGAUAUUGUUCUGUUUCACGUUGUCCCAGAGUUCUCUGAGGCUCUCCUCAUUUGUUUUCAAUCUUUUUUCUCUUUUCUGUUCUGCAGCCGUAAUUUCCACUACUCUGUCCUCCACCUCGCUUAUUCGUUCUUCUGCCUCCUGUAUUCUGCCGUUAGCUGCCUCUAGUGAGUUUUUUAUUUCAGUUGUUGUAUUUUGCAUCUCUUCUUGUUUAAGUUUUACAUCUUGUAUCUCUUUGCUCAGUGUUUCCUGUACGUUAUCCAUCUUUGCCUCCAGUUUAUUUCCAAUGUCUUGCAUCAUCUUCAGCAUCAACAAUCUAAAGUCUUUUUCCUGGAGGCUGAGAAUCUCCUCAUUGCUUAGCUGAUUUUCUAGGGUUUUUUCCUUUCUCCCUCAUCUGAGUUAUAGUUCUCUGUCUUUUCAUUUUUAUAGGUUCUUGGUGUGGUGACCUUUUUCCAGAUAAUAGAGUUGUAGCCUCUCUCACUUCUGGUGUCUGCCCCCCUUGUGGCUGAAGUGGGUAUGGGGGCUUGCUGUAGGCUUCCUAGUGGCAGAGACUGAUGACUUCCCACUGGUAGGUGGAGCUGAUUCUUAUCCCUCUGGUUGGUGGGGCUUAGCCUCUGGAUGGGAUUAGAGGCAACUGUGUGCCUGAGGGGUCUUUAGGUGGCCUGUUUACUGAGGGAUGGGACUGUGAUCCAACCUGGAUUGUUGUUUGCCCUAGGGCUUCUCAGCACUGACUGACAGGUGGGGCCAGAUUUUCUCAAAAUGGCCACCUCCAGAGAAAGCAUGCUGCUGAAUAUUCCCAAGAGCUUUGCCUUCAGUGUCCUUCCCUCACAACAAGCCACAUUCACCCCUGUUUUCUCAGGAUGUCCUCCAAGAACUGAAGUCAGGUUUGACCCAGAUUCCUAUGGAGACCUUGCUCUGCCCUGGGACCCAGCGCACGUGAAAGUCCAUGUGUGUCUUUUAAGAAUGGGGUCUCUAUUUCCCCCAGUCCCAUGGAGCUCUUGUGCACAAGCCCCACUGGCCUUCAUUGCCAGAUGCUCCAGGGGCUCGUUCUCCCAGUGCCAGAUCCCCAUACAUGAGGGUUUGAUGUAGGGCUCAGAACUCUCACUCCUGCAGGUGAGUCUUUCUGAACCAGUUAGUUUCCAGGCUGUGGAGCUUCCCACCCGGGAGGUAUGGGGUUGUUUAUAUCAUGUAAUCACCCCUCCUAUCUCUUGAUGUGUCCUGCUCUUUUUCUUCUGGAGUAGGGUAUCUUUUUUAAGGUUUACAGUCCAUUUGGGUGGGGAUUGCUCAGCUUUUAGUUGUGAAUUUUGUUGUUUUUAGGAGAGAAGUUGAGCUCCAGUCCUUCUAUUCUGCCAUCUUAAUCCUCUCUCCUGAUACUUUAGCAAUUUUUUUUUCAAAAGGAAGCAAUAAAGUUUAAAAAAAGUUUGGACAGGAUGUAGACUGAACCAAUGUCAAGAGAGCCAUGCUCUGGUCUGGAUGAAGGCACUGACUUAUCGUGUACCUCUAGUUUCCCUGCCUUUAAAAUAAGAACAGCAAAACUUGCUUCUAUCAUCGUCAUGGGGAUAAUUGCAAGGAAAAAAUAAGGUAACUUCUAGGAAAAUCUCUUAUUUUUUAAGGAGAAGUACAAUGUGGUCUUUUUGGCCAUUUUAUGAAAUUCUUACUCCUGUUUUAAUUUAUAUUAAACUUUAAAAAAUAUAAAUGAAUAUUACUAGUCUGCCUUGAGGCCUGUCUCUGAUACCAGAAACUUGAAGGAUAGUCCCAAUUACACAAUCUGUAUGUCCUGAGAUGGAGUAUGAGACACGAUUUCUUUUAGGUGCUGGGAUGCCUGAUGACUAAGACAAAACAGUCCCCCUGGAAGUUUGUAUUCCAUGGAGUAGAAAGACUCUAUAUAAAUAAAUGAAUAUGCUCUCAGGUGUUGAUAAGUACUCUGGAGAGAAGAAUGCUGGAUAUUGAAUAGGAAAUGUUAGGGGAAAGGAUACUUUCACACAGAGUGGUAACAUAAGACCUUUCUGAAAUGGUGACAUAUGGGUUGAGACCUGAAUAUGGUGAGGGUUGAGACCUGAAUAUGGUGAGAACAGCUGCACCAUCCAAAGAUCUUAGAGAUGAACAUUCCAUGCAGAGGAACAAAGGCGUCUAAGACUCCUGAGGCCUUCAGGAGCAUGGAAAUAUGGAGGAAUUGAGGCUUACUGGACUGGACAGAAGCGAAGCGGGUAAAGAUCAGGCUGAAGAGGCAGCCAGGGGCCAGAUCAAACAAGGCUUUGCAAGCCAGGACAAGAGGUUGGCAUUUUAUUCUUAGUACAAAGGGAAGCCACUGGGGAAAAUAUGCAGAUUGUUAAAACAAAUUUCCUCAAUAUGACAGAAUUGGGUGUUUACUCAGCAUAUUACCCAGAAAACUUCACCCCAGUUCUUCUACAGAUUUCUCUGUCUCUCUCCCACCAAGAGUGAAACUGUUCCAAUGCCUUCCCCUUAAACACCUUCCUCUUCAGCACUGGCACACCUUGCUCUCAGCCCCCCUUGCUGAGUGUAGUCCCUUGGGACUAUAGUUUCUCUUCUCCACUCAUCUUCUUCCAGGGAGAAGCCUCACACUUUUCAAAAUAAGAAAAAUUCUGGUGAGUAAAAUUCUUUCACUCUGUAUACUCUCUACCUCCUUGAGCCUUUGCAGUCAUUUGCUAAGGGAUACAGUGUUUAUUUAUGGAUCCAGGAGGACUUCCUAUUUCUCACCUCAUGGCCCCAUCCUUUAAAUUCUACUCAAGGGCCUUUGGAGAUGCUCUUGGGUUAGGAAUGGCCAUGUGUUUCAGAAUUCAGUCCAUCAGUUCUGGGACCUAGCACAUAAAGAGCUGUCUGUGCCAAAUCUCUUGGGUUUAAUGAGGACCCCUCCAAUCCUCUCCAAGGAACAAGAUGCAAUUACUGGAUGAAAGGACUCACAGUAUAAGACUGCCACCAGUGAGUUGAUGUGGACCAUCCUCUCCCUUGCUAAAGUCCACAAGGUGGCCUGGGAUAGGUGGCACCCAUGGAGGCCAGGGCAAGAAUACAGUUACCUUCCAGAGGGAAUCCCCCAUUACUGCUUGUGGGGGCCAUGCUGAUAUGGGGUUCUCUGGCUUCAAGCAGCUGGAUCGCAGCUGUAUCCCUACAGAGUUUUCAAUUGGCUCUGCAGCCCCUUUCUCAGACUUGAGCAGCUUUGCAGACAGUGAGAAUAUAGCCUGUGUUUGUUCUUUGUUUUUGUUUGUUUGUUUGUUUUGCUAUUUAGGGCAACACCUGUGGAACAUGGAAGUUCCCAGGCUAGGGGCAGAAUCGGAGCUGCAGCUGCAGCCUAUACCAUAGCCACAGCUAUGCAGAAUCAGAGCCACAUCUGUGACCCAUACCACAGCUCACAGCAAUGCUGGAUCCUUAACCGACUGAGCAAGGCCAGGGAUUGAACUCACAUCCUCAUGGGUACUAGGUGCGUUCAUUACCACUGAGCCAUGAUGGGAACUCCUAGCCCAUGUUCUUUCAUCCAAUGAAGCCUAAGAUUAUUCAAUAAUAUUUGACUGUUAAUUGUUCCCAUAAUAACUUAAUCUGGAACUCCUAGCCUUCCAGACUUGGUGUACUGUAACAUCCGGGAUAGCCCUUCAGGAGCAUUCUUCCAAUUCUUUACAUGCAGAACAGAACUUCCCCUUCUUUGCCUUCUCUCUGAGGUACGGUUAGGAAUUUGACAUCUGAGUCCCAAUAUCUAGUAACAUCAUUAUGCUAUCCUGCUUUAAGUCAGUAAGAAAAUGUGCCACCGAAGUUGUGUUUUUAUUACUUUCUUGUGGGGAAGCACGAAGGUUGCCUAAAGAAAAAUUCUGAAUGAUCUUUCACAUAGGCAUUUCUCAGUAAUUCUAACUUUAAAAUCAACUUGACCCAUAUUUCUAUAUAUCUCUAGUUGUGUUUUCAAAAGCAUCAGGGUUCCUGUCUGAAAUAUCAGGCACCUUUAUAUCCUGAGUCUAUGAGGUAAGUCAGUCAUAAUGAAAACGCACAAUUAGCUUAGCUUUUUAUCUAAGCCGUUGCUGGAUACCUUUUGCUGAUCCUGAACAAGUAGUCCUAAAUAUCUCCUGAUUAUAUAGCACUGCCCCAAAAGUCCUAUUAAUGCACCCACAGAAACAAAAAGCCAUAUAGAGUUCCCUUGUGGCACAGCAGGUUAAGGAUCCAAUGUUGUCACACAGUGGCUUGUUCACUGCUGUGUCACAGGUUCAUUCCCUAGCAUGGCAACUUCCACAUGCCAUGGGUGUAGCCAAAAGAUAAAAACAAAAACAAAACACCAUAAUUUCAAUUCCAGAAAACCACUGAAAUAAUGUAGAUUCCUGAAAGAAAUUCUGUGGAAGAUUUUCUUUGUUUGUUUUACUCUUUUAGUAUUUUGCUAUGUAUUAAAUUUCAUAAAUAUACAAAUAAGUAGGGUUUUUCUUUUGUUUGUUUUGUUUUGUUUUUGGCCACACUUGAGGCAUGCAGAAGAUCCCCGGACCAGGGAUUGAACCUGAGUCACCCAGUGACAGUGCCAAAUCCUUAACUGCUAGGCCACCAAGAAGUUCCGUAAGGAGGAUUUUAAUCAAUCCACCAUGGUGAAAUUAUCUUAAGAAUCCUUCUUUAGGGAGUUCUCUUGUGGUACAGUAGGUUAAGGAUCCCACUUUUUCACUGUUGCAGCUCUAAUCACUGCUGUGAUAUAGGUUCAAUCACUCACCUGGGAACUUCCACAUGCCAUGGGUACAGCCAAAAAACAACAACAACAAAAGAAUCAUUCUUUAGAUAUUUAUGACUUCCUCCAAAGUUCCAUGUUCAAAGCAGUCACUCAGAUUUUUUGCCUUCUCUGUCAUCUAUACUCCUCUGAGCUUACCUCCAUUGUCUUUGCACAGUUCUGCUUAGCCAUGCCUUGAUUUGCACCUAGGUCACCCUCUGACAUACAACUACCCAUGGGAACUGUGGGCCCUUUUCUGUUCUGAUUGCUUCUCUUGUGAGCCGUCUCCUUUUCCCUCUUUCCACCCACACCUCCACAAUU